CAGUAGCCGCGGUAACACGUAGGUCCCGAGCGUUGUCCGGAUUUAUUGGGCGUAAAGCGAGCGCAGGCGGUUAGAUAAGUCUGAAGUUAAAGGCUGUGGCUUAACCAUAGUACGCUUUGGAAACUGUUUAACUUGAGUGCAAGAGGGGAGAGUGGAAUUCCAUGUGUACCGGUGAAAUGCGUAGAUAUAUGGAGGAACACCGGUGGCGAAAGCGGCUCUCUGGCUUGUAACUGACGCUGAGGCUCGAAAGCGUGGGGAGCAAUCAGGAUUAGAUACCCCCGUAGUCCCUGUCUCUUAUACA
Molecule: ribosomal RNA, 301 nt
Filed under: uncultured bacterium
Lineage: Bacteria
Description: partial 16S ribosomal RNA
Rfam family: Bacterial small subunit ribosomal RNA
Source: RNAcentral